GACGAACGCUGGCGGCGUGCUUAACACAUGCAAGUCGAACGGUAAGGCCCUUCGGGGUACACGAGUGGCGAACAGGUGAGUAACACGUGGGUGAUCUGCCCUGCACUUCGGGAUAAGCCUGGGAAACUGGGUCUAAUACCGGAUAGGACUCCGGACUGCAUGGUCUGGGGUGGAAAGCUUUUGCGGUGUGGGAUGGGCCCGCGGCCUAUCAGCUUGUUGGUGGGGUGAUGGCCUACCAAGGCGACGACGGGUAGCCGGCCUGAGAGGGUGACCGGCCACACUGGGACUGAGAUACGGCCCAGACUCCUACGGGAGGCAGCAGUGGGGAAUAUUGCACAAUGGGCGCAAGCCUGAUGCAGCGACGCCGCGUGAGGGAUGACGGCCUUUGGGUUGUAAACCUCUUUCAGCAUCGACGAAGCGAAAGUGACGGUAGGUGCAGAAGAAGGACCGGCCAACUACGUGCCAGCAGCCGCCGUAA
Molecule: ribosomal RNA, 478 nt
Filed under: uncultured bacterium
Lineage: Bacteria
Description: partial 16S ribosomal RNA
Rfam family: Bacterial small subunit ribosomal RNA
Source: RNAcentral